AUGAUUCUUCUCGCCUCCGCGCAAACUCCUUUGCGGUUGGAAACGCUCUGGCGGCUUUACAACAGUGAAAUUAAUGAGAGAAAUCAAGGAACUCAGGUUGAUGAAUAUAGAAGAAGAUGUAGAUGCGGUUAUUGCGGAGAAAGAGAGAAGAAAUUUCUGGGUGAUUCUCCCACAAUUGAAAUCCUGAAGCAAUUGAAAGAGAUUUCUGUUAUAUCAUCUGAAGUUUGUUACCGGUUGAUUCCAAGUGGCCAGUAG
Non-coding RNA from Vicia faba (fava bean), 255 nucleotides. Lineage: Eukaryota; Viridiplantae; Streptophyta; Magnoliopsida; Fabales; Fabaceae. The record is from the annotation of a GenBank genome assembly.